This 180-nucleotide ribosomal RNA is filed under the name uncultured Glomeromycotina. RNAcentral's name for it is "partial small subunit ribosomal RNA". The stretch from base 88 to 180 matches the Rfam family "Eukaryotic small subunit ribosomal RNA", at positions 734 to 829 of the family's 1831-position model. The record is from RNAcentral. Lineage: Eukaryota; Fungi; Glomeromycota.
GACCUGGCUGGGUGGUCCGCUUAACGGCGUGUACUGUUCGGCUGGGCCUUACCUCUUGGUGAGCCAGUGUGCCCUUUAUUGGUGUGCAUUGGGGAACCAGGACUUUUACUUUGAAAAAAUUAGAGUGUUUAAAGCAGGCAUUUGCUUGAAUACAUUAGCAUGGAAUAAUAGAAUAGGACG